AGUGAACGCUGGCGGUAGGCCUAACACAUGCAAGUCGAACGGCAGCACAGUAAGAGCUUGCUCUUACGGGUGGCGAGUGGCGGACGGGUGAGGAAUACAUCGGAAUCUACUUUUUCGUGGGGGAUAACGUAGGGAAACUUACGCUAAUACCGCAUACGACCUACGGGUGAAAGCAGGGGAUCUUCGGACCUUGCGCGAUUGAAUGAGCCGAUGUCGGAUUAGCUAGUUGGCGGGGUAAAGGCCCACCAAGGCGACGAUCCGUAGCUGGUCUGAGAGGAUGGUCAGCCACACUGGAACUGAGACACGGUCCAGACUCCUACGGGAGGCAGCAGUGGGGAAUAUUGGACAAUGGGCGCAAGCCUGAUCCAGCCAUACCGCGUGGGUGAAGAAGGCCUUCGGGUUGUAAAGCCCUUUUGUUGGGAAAGAAAGGCAGCAGGUUAAUACCCCGCUGUUCUGACGGUACCCAAAGAAUAAGCACCGACUAACUUCGUG
This 492-nucleotide ribosomal RNA is filed under the name uncultured bacterium. RNAcentral's name for it is "partial 16S ribosomal RNA". It matches the Rfam family "Bacterial small subunit ribosomal RNA", at positions 29 to 507 of the family's 1533-position model. The record is from RNAcentral.